RNAcentral lists this long non-coding RNA (831 nucleotides) under Carassius auratus (goldfish). Its description in RNAcentral is "lncRNA (ENSCARG00000062081.1)". Lineage: Eukaryota; Metazoa; Chordata; Actinopteri; Cypriniformes; Cyprinidae. The record is from RNAcentral.
AUGGCCAGUGAAGUAUUCCGUGUACAGCUGUCCUGGUCACCGAACACUUUACUUAGUACUGUUGAUGGUAGCCUCUCAGAUCAUGAAAUUAGUAGGCCCUCAACCUUAUAUGUGCUUUGGAUGUCAGGUGUUCAAAUAGAGGAAUUAAUUGCAUCCAGUGUUGAAUCUUCAACUGACCAACUGGCUGCUACUCAGGACUUAGGAAGCAUCCCAAGUCCCCUCCAUUCCAGUGAUCAGGAUGUUGGCUUCUCCCCCUGCCCUGUUCCAGCUUUCUCACCACCAAUUGACAAUUCUUCACCCUCGUCACCGCCAUGUGAAGUUUAUGCAUUAGAUUCUGAAGAUGAGGAGGAUGUGGUGAUGUUGACCUCACCUGUUUAUUCUGACAAUGAAAUUGAUGAUGACGUUUCUGCUGCUGACAUCAUCAGAACAUUUCAGAGGGAAAAUCUAAAUUUGGAAGAAAGGGUGAUUGUAGUGGCCAGAAGGAGGAAAAUUCUUCAUAGUGCAUGUACUGCACUGAAAACUAGCUACUUUGCAUGGCACAAAUCCCCACAAAUUGAAUUUGUAGGUGAAAGUGCUGAUGACUAUGGGGGACCUAGCAGAGAAUUUUUCAGGCUUCUGAUGCAGGGUGUGCAGUCAUCAUUCGGAGUUUUUGAGGGGAAAACAGGCCAGAUGUUUUUCACGUAUGACCAAGUGGCUGUGGAAAAAAAGCGUUAUUACACAGCAGGAAAGCUCAUUUCUUGGUCUCUAAUGCACGGUGGACCUAGUUUCAAUGCACUAAAUACCACAUUGUACAAAUUAAUGUGUGGCAAGGCAGAUUCUGCCGAAGAAUAG